This 459-nucleotide ribosomal RNA is filed under the name uncultured bacterium. RNAcentral describes it as "partial 16S ribosomal RNA". It matches the Rfam family "Bacterial small subunit ribosomal RNA", at positions 338 to 795 of the family's 1533-position model. The record is from RNAcentral.
CCUACGGGUGGCAGCAGUGAGGAAUAUUGGUCAAUGGCCGGGAGGCUGAACCAGCCAAGCCGCGUGAGGGAGGAAGGCGCAGCGCGUCGUAGACCUCUUUUGUCGGGGGACAAAAGGCGGGACUCGUCCGGUUCUGAGGGUACCUGGAGAAAAAGCAUCGGCUAACUCCGUGCCAGCAGCCGCGGUAAUACGGAGGAUGCGAGCGUUAUCCGGAUUUAUUGGGUUUAAAGGGUGCGCAGGCGGGCCUUUAAGCCGGCGGUGAAAUCGGGGGGCUCAACCCCGCCGAGCCGUCGGAACUGGGAGCCUUGAGUGCAGCGGAGGCAGGCGGAAUGCGCGGUGUAGCGGUGAAAUGCUUAGAUAUCGCGCAGAACCCCGAUUGCGAAGGCAGCGUACCGUGCCGCCACUGACGCUGAGGCACGAAAGCGCGGGGAUCGAACAGGAUUAGAUACCCGGGUAGUC